This 433-nucleotide ribosomal RNA is filed under the name uncultured bacterium. RNAcentral describes it as "partial 16S ribosomal RNA". It matches the Rfam family "Bacterial small subunit ribosomal RNA", at positions 29 to 507 of the family's 1533-position model. The record is from RNAcentral.
AACGAACGCUGGCGGCAGGCCUAACACAUGCAAGUCGAGCGGACCUUUCGGGGUCAGCGGCGGACGGGUGAGUAACGCGUGGGAAUAUGCCCUUCUCUACGGAAUAGUCCUGGGAAACUGGGGGUAAUACCGUAUACGCCCUUUGGGGGUAAGAUUUAUCGGGGAAGGAUUAGCCCGCGUUGGAUUAGGUAGUUGGUAGGGUAAUGGCAUACCAAGCCGACGAUCCAUAGCUGGUUUGAGAGGAUGAUCAGCCACACUGGGACUGAGACACGGCCCAGACUCCUACGGGAGGCAGCAGUGGGGAAUCUUAGACAAUGGGGGCAAACCUGAUCAAGCCAUGCCGCGUGAGUGAUGAAGGCCUUAGGGUUGUAAAGCUCUUUCAGCUGGGAAGAUAAUGACGGUACCAGCAGAAGAAGCCCCGGCUAACUCCGUG